Molecule: ribosomal RNA, 274 nt
Filed under: uncultured bacterium
Lineage: Bacteria
Description: partial 16S ribosomal RNA
Rfam family: Bacterial small subunit ribosomal RNA
Source: RNAcentral
AUACGAAGGGUGCUAGCGUUGUUCGGAAUUACUGGGCGUAAAGAGCAUGUAGGCGGAUAGAUUAGUCAGAGGUGAAAGCCCCGAGCUCAACUCGGGAACUGCCUUUGAUACUGUUUAUCUGGAGACCGAGAGAGGUGAGUGGAAUUCUCAGUGUAGAGGUGAAAUUCGUAGAUAUUGGGAAGAACACCAGUGGCGAAGGCGGCUCACUGGCUCGGAACUGACGCUGAGAUGCGAAAGCGUGGGGAGCGAACAGGAUUAGAAACCCUAGUAGUCC